GCGCCGCCCUCCCCGGCGGUUCCUGGCUCUGCCCCAAGCCUAGGGAACCCCAAAUCGCCGGGGCGCCCGGCCUCAGCCUAGCUCACUCCCACCUAUGCGUCUCGGCCCAAGCCAAACGGAGCUCUCCAACGACACCUCCUUGCUGGACCCGGGCAGGGGCGGGGGUUGGCGGGAAGGUUUCUGCGCCCCCCACCCCACCCCACCCCCAUAGCUGCGGGCGGGGAGAAGGUGCAGCUCCAGGAAGUGAGGAAACCCUGCGGAGGACCAGGUUCUUGCUUGCUGUCUUUUCAAGCUCAUCAAGGUUAAACGUGCUUGGACAGAUUGCAGUCCUUCCAAGGGGCCUCUGUGAAAGUUGCCUGAGUUGCAAUGGAAACUGUGGUCGUUUGAAUGUAUGGCCCGACCGAACUCAGCUUGAUGCUCAAGUCUCCAGUGGGUGGAGCUCUACCAGCGAAGAGGACAGGUCACUUGGAGUCCAGCCCUAAGGCUGUGUCUGAUUGGAUGCGUGUUCCAGCAAUGAGGAACUGACGGCCACAAGACCCCACCACGUUGGAGAUGCUGGAACCCUGAGGAAGACUGCAAGCACCCAGUGGAGCUGGCCCAGGGGAGGAACUAGGAGUGCGUCAGGUAAAGUAGCUGGCAGGUGAUCCUGUUCCAUGGCCUAGGGUCCCAGACUGAAUGAAAAGGAGGAAGAGAGCUGAGCACCAGCAUUCAUGUUUCUCUGUUUCCUGGUGUGAUGUGAUGCAACAUGACCAACCACCUCCUGCUCUUGCCCAUCCUGAGACGUGGUACCUUCAAAUGGUGAGACAAAAUAGGCCCUUCCUUCCUUCUUCAUUGGUCUUUAUCAGCUAUUUGUCCCAGUAAUGAGAAGAGUAACUGUCAGAGACGGACUUGGACUCCUGAUCACCCUGCAUGCACCUCCUGAGUGCUGGGAUUGCCAGCAUGCACCACCAUGCCUAGUUUCAUGCAGUGUUGGGCAUUGGAUCUGUAGCUAGGCAAACACUCUGCAUCUCCAGCUCCAGUCUGACAAAUCCACAAAACAUAAAGGAUACCUACAUGUGAAUAAUAAGAAGAAAAAAACAAUCUUAUUUUAAAGAAAUUGCACAAAGGGCAAAGAAAUCACAAAAAAAAAUGAUGGCUAAUAAACAUAAGAUAUACUCAGUUACUAUCAUAAGUAAUUUAAACAUACAAACCAAUAUUUAUUUUUGAGGUAGGGUCUCUGUCACUCUAGCCCAGGCUGACCUGGAAUUCACCAUGCA
Molecule: long non-coding RNA, 1256 nt
Organism: Jaculus jaculus (lesser Egyptian jerboa)
Lineage: Eukaryota; Metazoa; Chordata; Mammalia; Rodentia; Dipodidae
Exons: 3
Source: RefSeq, a predicted model, not a curated record